GCCUCCGUAGUUUAGUUGGUUAUAACACCCCACUAGUAUUUCUACGGCUAAUGGGGAGGUCUGUCGUUCGAAUCGGCACGGAGGCA
Molecule: transfer RNA, 86 nt
Filed under: Cryptococcus floricola
Lineage: Eukaryota; Fungi; Basidiomycota; Tremellomycetes; Tremellales; Cryptococcaceae
Description: tRNA-Thr
Rfam family: tRNA
About the family: Transfer RNA (tRNA) molecules are approximately 80 nucleotides in length. Their secondary structure includes four short double-helical elements and three loops (D, anti-codon, and T loops).
Source: RNAcentral